GCUCUCUUGCUACAAUGGGUCAGUGCGUCUAGCUGUUAACCAGAAGGUUGGUGGUUCGAGCCCAUGCAGGGAUGGCU
RNAcentral lists this transfer RNA (77 nucleotides) under Podarcis lilfordi (Lilford's wall lizard). Its description in RNAcentral is "tRNA.Asn". The record is from RNAcentral. Lineage: Eukaryota; Metazoa; Chordata; Lepidosauria; Squamata; Lacertidae.